RNAcentral lists this ribosomal RNA (466 nucleotides) under uncultured bacterium. RNAcentral describes it as "partial 16S ribosomal RNA". It matches the Rfam family "Bacterial small subunit ribosomal RNA", at positions 28 to 507 of the family's 1533-position model. The record is from RNAcentral.
GACGAACGCUGGCGGCGUGCUUAACACAUGCAAGUCGAACGGUAAGGCUCCAGCUUGCUGGGGUACACGAGUGGCGAACGGGUGAGUAACACGUGGGUGACCUGCCCUGCACUUCGGGAUAAGCCUGGGAAACUGGGUCUAAUACCGGAUAGGACCAUGGUGUGGAUACUGUGGUGGAAAGUUUUUUCGGUGUGGGAUGGGCCCGCGGCCUACCAGCUUGUUGGUGGGGUAAUGGCCUACCAAGGCGGCGACGGGUAGCCGGCCUGAGAGGGUGGACGGCCACAUUGGGACUGAGACACGGCCCAGACUCCUACGGGAGGCAGCAGUGGGGAAUAUUGCACAAUGGGCGGAAGCCUGAUGCAGCGACGCCGCGUGGGGGAUGACGGCCUUCGGGUUGUAAACUCCUUUCACCAUCGACGAAGGGUUUCUGACGGUAGAUGGAGAAGAAGCACCGGCUAACUACGUG